RNAcentral lists this ribosomal RNA (17 nucleotides) under Chaetothyrina musarum. RNAcentral describes it as "partial 28S ribosomal RNA". Lineage: Eukaryota; Fungi; Ascomycota; Dothideomycetes; Mycosphaerellales; Phaeothecoidiellaceae. The record is from RNAcentral.
GUGACCUCGGAUCGGAG